Molecule: unclassified non-coding RNA, 337 nt
Filed under: soil metagenome
Description: partial contains 5.8S ribosomal RNA, internal transcribed spacer 2, and large subunit ribosomal RNA
Rfam family: 5.8S ribosomal RNA (bases 1-120)
Source: RNAcentral
GAUGAAGAACGCAGCGAAAUGCGAUAAGUAAUGUGAAUUGCAGAACUCAGUGAAUCAUCGAAUCUUUGAACGCACAUUGCGCCCCCUGGCAUUCCGGGGGGCAUGCCUGUCCGAGCGUCAUUUCUGCCCUCAAGCACGGCUUGUGUGUUGGGUGUGGUCCCCCCGGGGACCUGCCCGAAAGGCAGCGGCGACGUCCGUCUGGUCCUCGAGCGUAUGGGGCUCUGUCACUCGCUCGGGAAGGACCUGCGGGGGUUGGUCACCACUAUAUUUUACCACGGUUGACCUCGGAUCAGGUAGGAGUUACCCGCUGAACUUAAGCAUAUCAAUAAGCGGAGGA